UACGUAGGGGGCAAGCGUUGUCCGGAUUUAUUGGGCGUAAAGCGCGUGUAGGCGGCCAACUAAGUCGGAUGUGAAAUCCCCAGGCUUAACCUGGGAACUGCAUCCGAUACUGGAUGGCUUGAAUUCGGGAGAGGGAUGCAGAAUUCCAGGUGUAGCGGUGAAAUGCGUAGAUAUCUGGAGGAAUACCGGUGGCGAAGGCGGCAUCCUGGACCGACAUUGACGCUGAGGAGCGAAAGCUAGGGGAGCAAACGGG
This 253-nucleotide ribosomal RNA is filed under the name uncultured bacterium. RNAcentral's name for it is "partial 16S ribosomal RNA". It matches the Rfam family "Bacterial small subunit ribosomal RNA", at positions 524 to 776 of the family's 1533-position model. The record is from RNAcentral.